AGAAAAAAACCCCCAAGGGAUUCAAGAACAACGCCAUGGGUGUUUCUUGUUGAGAAAAUUGCCGUAGCCGUAGCGAAAUAGAAAAUCACAGUGCCCCAUUUUUUGCAACACUGUGACCAUCACAAGUCCAGCAAUGGCAGCUAGGUCAUAGGCUAAUCUACCGCAUUGUUGGUUGGUUAGCCGCUACGCACAUGUGCAGAAAUUAGGCCUAUUAGGAACUCUGAACUCAUAAAACGUGACAUGUGAUCGUUUUUCGUUUUUGCCUUGUAAUUACCAAGCUCCAUUUCUUUUCCCCCCUUUUUUAAUACUAAGAGAAUACAUUCUCUGAACGACGAGAUGUCUCGUCGACGAAAUGUCGGCCAUGCUAGUCUUGACACUGCUGCUAAUAUCGUGUAGAAUUUUAAGAGUAUUUAUUUUAAGCCUGACCGAGUUAUAGCCUUAUCUAAUCUAUCUAAAUGAGUCUAACAUUCGAAGCGCCGUGCUUUUCUGCUUGCAACAAGCCGUAGCUUGCAACGUUGUACAGAGAUGCAAUGUUACAAUGUGUAGGAAUAUGCCGUUGAGCUACAAUCAGCUACAAUGUAAUUUUGCAUGUGGCUCAGGAAGGAUGAGAGACGCAAACGCGAAGUACGGAAGCCCGAGUCAUGUGUAGGCUCGAGUAUUUAUUCAUUUAUUAAUCCCGAGGGAAAUUAAUUUGUCCCAAAUAAAAAUCAGACCCGGAAAUUGUUGCAUAAUAAUAAGAAAAUUCUAUAGUUGUGGUCUGGUGUUGUCAAAGACAACGACAUUCCAAAUUCGGAUUUAAAAAUAAACAUUCAAUUAAUUUGCGAUUGACUCGGCACACGGAAAACUUUCUCCUGCUGAUUUUGACUCUAUUUUUCAUCUCUGGUUUACUCGACUAUUAUUGGAAACCUUCCACGGUUGCUCUGAAGUACUAUAGCCUACCUUCAAAAUAUUUGCAGACAAUUUUCAUAUUUUUCUCGAAUCUAGACCAAAGACCUAUCUGCUUCUGUGAGAACUCUUACAGUAUGGCAUAUGAGCUUUGGGGUCCACUCUCUGACUUUGAGAACUGUCUGGGCCUAUGUGGACUCUGGGGAAGCCAACCUGUAAUUGAUCCAGUGAAGACCACCCUGGACUUUGGUUUUGAGCUCUGCCCCGACACCCCUGCCAAAGAGAAUGACUCUGGCGAUGCGAAGGAGAUUGUCUUUGAUGGCACUGUGACUCGCCCUGCAUCAGCACCAGUGGCCAUCCAAGAGGAAGUCAACUUGUCAAUUGACCUAACCUGCUUUGUCAACUGGGCCUGCAGUCUCUCAGACGACCACUUCACCAACCUGUGCUUGUGGGCAGCAGCUCAUCAGGGAAGCCAAGAAAUCCUGGACUACAUUCUCUAAUCAUGAACUACAACAGAGAACAUUAUUUUUACACAUGAAAUCAAAAAAAAAAAUAUAUAUAUAUAUAUAUUUUUACCUGUGGUGGGUUAAUAAAAUUGAUCCAUUCAACUUA
Molecule: long non-coding RNA, 1497 nt
Organism: Engraulis encrasicolus (European anchovy)
Lineage: Eukaryota; Metazoa; Chordata; Actinopteri; Clupeiformes; Engraulidae
Exons: 2
Source: RefSeq, a predicted model, not a curated record